This 46-nucleotide non-coding RNA is filed under the name Trichobilharzia regenti. The record is from RNAcentral. Lineage: Eukaryota; Metazoa; Platyhelminthes; Trematoda; Strigeidida; Schistosomatidae.
GUACUGCUGAAGAGUCCCAAAAUAGGACGAAACAACUGUACAGUAC